UGGGGGAAUAUUGCACAAUGGGGGAAACCCUGAUGCAGCGACGCCGCGUGGAGGAAGAAGGUCUUCGGAUUGUAAACUCCUGUUGUUGAGGAAGAUAAUGACGGUACUCAACAAGGAAGUGACGGCUAACUACGUGCCAGCAGCCGCGGUAAAACGUGGGUCACAAGCGUUGUCCGGAAUUACUGGGUGUAAAGGGAGCGCAGGCGGGAAGACAAGUUGGAAGUGAAAUCUAUGGGCUCAACCCAUAAACUGCUUUCAAAACUGUUUUUCUUGAGUAGUGCAGAGGUAGGCGGAAUUCCCGGUGUAGCGGUGGAAU
Molecule: ribosomal RNA, 316 nt
Filed under: uncultured Faecalibacterium sp.
Lineage: Bacteria; Bacillati; Bacillota; Clostridia; Eubacteriales; Oscillospiraceae
Description: bacterial SSU rRNA
Rfam family: Bacterial small subunit ribosomal RNA
Source: RNAcentral